This 1548-nucleotide ribosomal RNA is filed under the name human gut metagenome. RNAcentral describes it as "bacterial LSU rRNA". It matches the Rfam family "Bacterial large subunit ribosomal RNA", at positions 475 to 2053 of the family's 2925-position model. The record is from RNAcentral.
ACUUAGUGACCGAUAGCGAAUAGUACUGUGAAGGAAAGGUGAAAAGGACCCCGGGAGGGGAGUGAAAGAGAACCUGAAACCCUGUGUCUACAAGCUGUGGAACUGCUUUAUAUGCACGACCGCGUACUUUUUGUAGAACGGUCCGGCGAGUUACGCUUACUGGCAAGGUUAAGCACUUCAGGUGCGGAGCCGUAGGGAAACCAAGUCUUAAGAGGGCCUUAAGUCAGUAGGAGUAGACCAGAAACCGGGUGAUCUAUCCAUGUCCAGGUUGAAGCUGCCGUAAGAGGUAGUGGAGGACCGAACCCACAUCCGUUGAAAAGGGUGGGGAUGAGGUGUGGAUAGGGGAGAAAUUCCAAUCGAACCCGGAGAUAGCUGGUUCUCCUCGAAAUAGCUUUAGGGCUAGCCUCGAUACAGAUUUGCGGAGGUAGAGCACUGAAUUUCCUAGGGGGCGUCAAAGCCUACCGAAGAAUAUCAAACUCCGAAUGCCGCGUAAUCGAUUAUCGGGAGUCAGACUGCACGAGAUAAGUUGGGCGGUCAAAAGGGAAAGAGCCCAGACCUUCAGUUAAGGUCCCCAAGUGCGCGUUAAGUGGAAAAGGAUGUGGGAUUUCGAAGACAACCAGGAUGUUGGCUCAGAAGCAGCCAUCCAUUCAAAGAGUGCGUAAUAGCUCACUGGUCGAGAGGUCCUGCGCCGAAAAUGUCCGGGGCUGAAACGCGCCACCGAAACUAAGGAACCGAAAGGUUGGUAGAGGAGCAUUGCAUGCGGAACGAAGCAGUACCGUAAGGAGCUGUGGACUGCAUGGAAGAGAGAAUGCCGGAAUGAGUAGCGAGAAUAAGGUGAGAAUCCUUAUGGCCGAAUAUCCAAGGUUUCCAGAGUAAAGCUGAUCUGCUCUGGGUAAGUCGGGGCCUAAGGCGAGGACGAGAGUCGUAGCCGAUGGACAACAGGUGGAGAUUCCUGUACUGCGGUAUGACAGAACUGUGGGGACACGUAAGGAAAGCGGAAGCCGGGAAUGGAAAGCCCGGUGCAAGCGGGGUACCAGUCACUUUGGCAAAUCCGGGUGGCAAUGGGAAGCCGUGAUGCGGAGCGAAAUAAAGUAGCGAAGUCCGUGAGCCAUGCGUCAAGAAAAGCCGCUAUUGUUUGUACCGUACCCGUACCGUAAACCGACACAGGUGGAUGAGGAGAGAAUCCUAAGGCCGGCGGAAGAAGCAUUGUCAAGGAACUCGGCAAAAUGGCCCCGUAACUUAGGGAUAAGGGGUGCCUGGGAAACCAGGCCGCAGAGAAUAGGCUCAAGCAACUGUUUAGCAAAAACACAGGUCUAUGCGAAACCGAAAGGUGAGGUAUAUGGGCUGACGCCUGCCCGGUGCUGGAAGGUUAAGAGGAGAGGUUAGCGGUAACGCGAAGCUUUGAAUUUAAGCCCCAGUAAACGGCGGCCGUAACUAUAACGGUCCUAAGGUAGCGAAAUUCCUUGUCGGGUAAGUUCCGACCCGCACGAAAGGCGUAAUGAUUUGAGCGCUGUCUCGACAAUGCAUCCGGUGAAAUUGAAGUACCAG